Non-coding RNA from Acanthosepion pharaonis, 84 nucleotides. NCBI's taxonomy places the organism in Eukaryota, Metazoa, Mollusca, Cephalopoda, Sepiida, Sepiidae. The record is from the annotation of a GenBank genome assembly.
CCCGUACGAUCACCGAAGUUAAGCAAUGUUGAACAUGUUCAUUACUUACGUGGGUGACUGCUUGGGAAUACCAAGUGCUGUAAG